CCUAAAGGAAAUUGGGGGAUGGGCGUUAAGAGAGGGGAGAAGAACUGUAGCAGUUGCGUUUUCACAUUGCUUAAUUGGAAAUUGUUCUCACGAAUACAGUCCGAAUUUUUAUAAUAGCUGGGUAUUUCAGAUGCUUUCACCUUUCUUUAAAUGAUCUUCAGAAAUUUACAUGCAUAUGAAGCAUCACUGCUUUAUAGUAUAGAUCGCUCGUAUGCCAGUGCACAAAGGUUGCAGUUCAUUGACUGUUCUUCCCUCAACACAACUCCCGACUGUAAGACCCUCUAUGAUGAUUGGUCUAUAAGAAGGAGUUUUCCUGUGAAAUAGACUGGAGUUGAUCCUCACAAGUCUAUAUGAGUUGGGGAAAUUUGGAAGCAGAGGAAACUGGGCAAUUUGCCUAGGAACCAAACACAAGUCGUGACACAGCUGGGAACCAUCUCACAUCUCUAGAAUCAGGAUGACUUGUUCCAAACUGCCUUUUCAGGCACAGGAUGAAAUGACGUGAUGUCCUUUUGCCUCAGACAAUGGGAUAUUUUUCCUCAGCCAAGCUCUAGUGUUUGAGCAGUCUCCUCAGAGGAAGAUCAAAGGGGUAGACUGUCUUUGACUUUGCUUCUUCUUUGCCUCUGUGCACAUCUGGAUCUGAGAAGUGUGGGAGACAGAGACACCAUUUCUCCAACAGCUCCUGAGGGCCAUGGGCGUGGUGCGACCAUUGCAGGAUCUGUAAAACAAGCAUUUCUGAAGAUGUUGCUCAGUUUAGCCGAAGAAAAUUUUCUCUGGGACUGCAAAUGUUGACUUCUUAUUCUAACAACAUUCCCCAUUUAUUUGAGAUAACUUUAUGAGAUUGAUUUCAGGUAAUCACAUUAAUUCA
Long non-coding RNA from Rhinolophus ferrumequinum (greater horseshoe bat), 865 nucleotides. RefSeq lists it as uncharacterized. The transcript is spliced from 3 exons. Lineage: Eukaryota; Metazoa; Chordata; Mammalia; Chiroptera; Rhinolophidae. The record is from RefSeq and is a predicted model, not a curated record.